This 468-nucleotide ribosomal RNA is filed under the name uncultured bacterium. RNAcentral's name for it is "partial 16S ribosomal RNA". It matches the Rfam family "Bacterial small subunit ribosomal RNA", at positions 28 to 507 of the family's 1533-position model. The record is from RNAcentral.
GACGAACGCUGGCGGCGUGCUUAACACAUGCAAGUCGAACGGAAAGGCCCUGCUUUUGUGGGGUGCUCGAGUGGCGAACGGGUGAGUAACACGUGAGUAACCUGCCCUUGACUUUGGGAUAACUUCAGGAAACUGGGGCUACUACCGGAUAGGAGCUCCUGCUGCAUGGUGGGGGUUGGAAAGUUUCGGCGGUUGGGGAUGGACUGGCGGCUUAUCAGCUUGCUGGUGGGGUAGUGGCUUACCAAGGCUUUGACGGGUAGCCGGCCUGAGAGGGUGACCGGGCACAUUGGGACUGAGAGACGGCCCAGAGUCCUACAGUAGGCAGCAGUGGGGAAUAUUGCACAAUGGGCGGAAGUCUGAUGCAGCAACGCCGCGGGCGGGAUGACGGCCUUCGGGGUGUAAACCGCUGUCGCCUGUGACGAAGCGGGAGUGACGGUAAUGGGUAAAGAAGCACCGGCUAACUACGUG